UCUUUUAAUUGGAGGCUUGUAUGAAUGGUUGGACGUAAUAUUAACUGUCUCAAUUUAAAAUUUAAAAUUUUAUUUUUUAGUAAAAAAGCUAAAAUUUUAUUAAAAGACGAGAAGACCUUAUAGAUCUUUAUAUUUUUAAUUAUUAUUUUUAUAAAGAAUAAUUUAAAAUUAAUAAUUUAUAGUAUUUUAUUGGGGUGAUAAUAAAAUUUAAUAAACUUUUAUAUUUUAUAACAUUAAUUAUUGACUGAUUGAUCCAUUAUUAGUGAUUAUUAGAUUAAGUUACCUUAGGGAUAACAGCGUAAUUUAAUUAGAGAGUUCAUAUCGAUAAUUAAGAUUGC
This 338-nucleotide ribosomal RNA is filed under the name Stratiomys longicornis. Its description in RNAcentral is "partial 16S ribosomal RNA". The record is from RNAcentral. RNAcentral also lists the same sequence under 1 other name. Lineage: Eukaryota; Metazoa; Arthropoda; Insecta; Diptera; Stratiomyidae.